GCGGGGCUGCGGGCGUGUAGGACGCUUAUUUCCGGGGCCUUAUCGAUCCAAACGGGAGCUGUCCCUGUUCUCGUCCGUGGACUUGAGCACACGGCGCCCACCUACGUUGUAGGUACUGGGAUCGAUGUCCCACGGCCAUCGUGGCUCCGCA
This 151-nucleotide non-coding RNA is filed under the name Rhodoblastus sp. RNAcentral's name for it is "6S / SsrS RNA". It matches the Rfam family "6S / SsrS RNA". From Rfam's summary of the family: E. coli 6S RNA was the first non coding RNA to be sequenced, but its function was unknown until recently. The record is from Rfam by way of RNAcentral. Lineage: Bacteria; Pseudomonadati; Pseudomonadota; Alphaproteobacteria; Hyphomicrobiales; Rhodoblastaceae.